Molecule: ribosomal RNA, 499 nt
Filed under: uncultured bacterium
Lineage: Bacteria
Description: partial 16S ribosomal RNA
Rfam family: Bacterial small subunit ribosomal RNA
Source: RNAcentral
GAUGAACGCUGGCGGCGUGCCUAAUACAUGCAAGUCGAGCGAACAGACGAGAGUGCUUGCACUCUCUGACGUUAGCGGCGGACGGGUGAGUAACACGUGGGUAACCCACCUAUAAGACUGGGAUAACUUCGGGAAACCGGAGCUAAUACCGGAUAAUAUUUAGCUUCGCAUGAAGCAAUAGUGAAAGACGGUUCUGCUGUCACUUAUAGAUGGACCCGCGGUGUAUUAGCUAGUUGGUGAGGUAACGGCUCACCAAGGCAACGAUACAUAGCCGACCUGAGAGGGUGAGCGGCCACACUGGGACUGAGACACGGCCCAGACUCCUACGGGAGGCAGCAGUAGGGAAUCUUCCGCAAUGGACGAAAGUCUGACGGAGCAAUGCCGCGUGAGUGAAGAAGGUUUUCGGAUCGUAAAACUCUGUUGUAAGGGAAGAACAAGUACGUUAGUAACUGAACGUACCUUGACGGUACCUUACCAGAAAGCCACGGCUAACCACGUG